Molecule: ribosomal RNA, 1299 nt
Filed under: uncultured eukaryote
Lineage: Eukaryota
Description: SSU rRNA
Rfam family: Eukaryotic small subunit ribosomal RNA
Source: RNAcentral
UCUACGGAAGGCAGCAGGAGCGAAAAUUGCCCAAUCCCGACACGGGGAGGCAGUGACGAGAAAUAACAACUCUUGGUUAUUCUAAGAAGUGUAAUGAGGAUAAUUUAAAACCCUUACCGAAAGCAAUUGGAGGGCAAGUCUGGUGCCAGCAGCCGCGGUAAUUCCAGCUCCAAUAGCGUAUAUUAAAGUUGUUGCAGUUAAAAAGCUCGUAGUUGAAGUUCUGGCUGUUCGAUCCUCGAGCUCUGUAGCCGAGGACUCGACAGUCAUCCGCUUGCAAAUAUAUGUUCGCCUUUAACCGGGCGGCUAUAUGAGUAAGCAAUUUACCUUGAGAAAAACAGAGUGUUCCAGGCAGGUUUGUCCGGAAUGCAUUAGCAUGGAAUAAUAGAAUAUGACUGAAGUCGAUUUAUUGGUUUGAGGCUUUAGUAAUGAUUAAUAGGAACAGUCGGGGGCAUUGGUACUUGACAGUCAGAGGUGAAAUUCUAGGAUUUGUCAAAGACUAACAAAUGCGAAAGCAUUUGCCAAGGAUGUUUUCAUUAAUCAAGAACGAAAGUUAGGGGAUCAAAGACGAUCAGAUACCGUCCUAGUCUUAACUAUAAACUAUACCGACUCGGAUUCAGAUGAAUCAUAAAGUUCAUUUGGGACCGUAGGAGAAAUCAAAGUUUUUGGGUUCUGGGGGAAGUAUGGUCGCAAGGCUGAAACUUAAAGGAAUUGACGGUUUUGCACCACCAUGGAGUGGAGUCUGCGGCUUAAUUUGACUCAACACUGGGAAACUCAUCAGGGCAAGAAGAUUGUAGGAUUGACAGAUUGAGAGUUCUUUCUUGAUUGGUCUAGUGGUGGUGCAUGGCCGUUCUUAGUUGGUGGAGUGAUUUGUCUGGUUAAUUCCGUUAACGAACGAGACCUUAACCUGCUAACUAGUACACAGAUGACAAAUCUGUGAUACUUCUUAGAGGGACUAUGUGAUGUAAUCACAUGGAAGUUUGAGGCAAUAACAGGUCUGUGAUGCCCYUAGAUGUCCUGAGCUGCACGCGUACUACAAUGGUGCUUUCAACGAGCUUUUCCUGAUCCGAAAGGAUUUGGGUAAUCUUUUUAGUGAGCACCGUGCUUGGGAUAGAUCUUUGUAAUUAUGGAUCUUGAACUAGGAAUUCCUAGUAAGCGCGCGUCAUCAGCGCGUGCUGAUUACGUCCCUGCAAAAUGUACACACCGCCCGUCGCUAUUACCGAUUGAGUGUAAAGGUGAACCUUCUCGAUAGACGCAAGUCCAGAAAUUAAGUAAACCUUUGCACUUAGAGGAAAUAAAAAG